AGUGAACGCUGGCGGUAGGCCUAACACAUGCAAGUCGAACGGCAGCACAGUAAGAGCUUGCUCUUACGGGUGGCGAGUGGCGGACGGGUGCGGAAUACAUCGGAAUCUACUUUUUCGUGGGGGAUAACGUAGGGAAACUUACGCUAAUACCGCAUACGACCUACGGGUGAAAGCAGGGGAUCUUCGGACCUUGCGCGAUUGAAUGGGCCGAUGUCGGAUUAGCUAGUUGGCGGGGUAAAGGCCCACCAAGGCGACGAUCCGUAGCUGGUCUGUGAGGAUGAUCAGCCACACUGGAACUGGGACACGGUCCAGACUCCUACGGGAGGCAGCAGUGGGGAAUAUUGGACAAUGGGCGCAAGCCUGAUCCAGCCAUACCGCAUGGGUGAAGAAGGCCUUCGGGUUGUAAAGCCCUUUUGUUGGGAAAGAAAAGCAGCAGGUUAAUACCCCGCUGUUCUGACGGUACCCAAAGAAUAAGCACCGGCUAACUUCGUG
This 492-nucleotide ribosomal RNA is filed under the name uncultured bacterium. RNAcentral's name for it is "partial 16S ribosomal RNA". It matches the Rfam family "Bacterial small subunit ribosomal RNA", at positions 29 to 507 of the family's 1533-position model. The record is from RNAcentral.